Long non-coding RNA from Apodemus sylvaticus (European woodmouse), 941 nucleotides. RefSeq lists it as uncharacterized. Lineage: Eukaryota; Metazoa; Chordata; Mammalia; Rodentia; Muridae. The transcript has 2 exons. The record is from RefSeq and is a predicted model, not a curated record.
CCACUGGACACCACCAGGAACCCAGACCUGUGGCAACCAGAAGAACUAAGCCCGGCUAGUACCACAUCCUGUGGGGGGGCAGGAAGGCUAACUGAUCUGACUGAGAGCCGUGGAAAGGAGCCAGACUGUGGCGGAAGCUCUGCUGCAGACAGAUUAGUAAGUAGUUUAUCUCUUUUUUGGCCCCACAGGCCCAAGAGUUUCAGUCAGGAGACUUGGUAUGCACCCAAUGCCUUGAGUUCUAUGAGAAUUAAGGUGUGUGUGUGUGACCUGAUACAACUUCACACUAAACUCAGGCAGCUGGGAGGGCCAGGCCUCAUCAUAUAGCGUGGCCUCUUGAUUUCACAGUUGUAGAGGUAGAGCCUUCCGUCCAGAGGACCUCUCAGCUUGCCCGUUUUGGAACUAAGUCCUGUUUACUUAGUGUAUAAGGCAGCCCUUGGCUGCCAAGAAUCCUUAGGCUAAUAAUUGGACCGGUUGGAGGAUGAGCUUCUGAGUCUAUUCAUCCCCUACCCCCGGAAAAGCCUCCCCAGAGAGCUGAAGUGCCCAGGGAGCCUGUGCAGACCUCCAUGGUGGCUUUUUAUGGUCUCUGACAAGAAAGGAUGCCAAAGGAGUGAAUGCUUUCUGAGACCACUGCUUUAUUUCACUAUCGUUCGACAACAGUCAGCCCUCUCUCGGGUAGGUCUGGAAGCGUCCAUCCGUGUCUUCUCCUCGUUCUUAAUAAAAAAGGUAAUGAAGAAAAAGCCUGUGUUUUUGGAGACCUAGAAUCUUAUUGAUGCUAAUAUAAGCUUUUGACUGCGAUUUCGGGUUACGAUUAUUUCCUGCUGGCGUCUCGGUGGUCAUACAGAGAGUUCCCCACUCAGGCGGAGACGGCUGGCCACAGCUACCACCGUUGAAAACAAAAGUGUUGAAAAAUGCACCUUUUACAAUAAAAAAGUAGAAACCAA